Molecule: ribosomal RNA, 578 nt
Filed under: uncultured bacterium
Lineage: Bacteria
Description: bacterial SSU rRNA
Rfam family: Bacterial small subunit ribosomal RNA
Source: RNAcentral
ACGGGUGAGUAACACGUGGGUGAUCUGCCCUGCACUUCGGGAUAAGCCUGGGAAACUGGGUCUAAUACCGGAUAUGACCUCCUGUUGCAUGGCGGGGGGUGGAAAGAUUUAUCGGUGCAGGAUGGGCCCGCGGCCUAUCAGCUUGUUGGUGGGGUAAUGGCCUACCAAGGCGACGACGGGUAGCCGACCUGAGAGGGUGGCCGGCCACACUGGGACUGAGACACGGCCCAGACUCCUACGGGAGGCAGCAGUGGGGAAUAUUGCACAAUGGGCGAAAGCCUGAUGCAGCGACGCCGCGUGAGGGAUGACGGCCUUCGGGUUGUAAACCUCUUUCAGCAGGGACGAAGCGCAAGUGACGGUACCUGCAGAAGAAGCACCGGCUAACUACGUGCCAGCAGCCGCGGUAAUACGUAGGGUGCAAGCGUUGUCCGGAAUUACUGGGCGUAAAGAGUUCGUAGGCGGUUUGUCGCGUCGUUUGUGAAAACCAGCAGCUCAACUGCUGGCUUGCAGGCGAUACGGGCAGACUUGAGUACUGCAGGGGAGACUGGAAUUCCUGGUGUAGCGGUGAAAUGCGCAGA